This 225-nucleotide ribosomal RNA is filed under the name Bacillus cereus. RNAcentral's name for it is "partial 23S ribosomal RNA". It matches the Rfam family "Bacterial large subunit ribosomal RNA", at positions 1 to 231 of the family's 2925-position model. Lineage: Bacteria; Bacillati; Bacillota; Bacilli; Caryophanales; Bacillaceae. The record is from RNAcentral.
GGGUCAAGUGACUAAGAGCAUGUGGUGGAUGCCUUGGCGAUUACAGGCGACGAAAGACGUGAUAGCCUGCGAUAAGCUUCGGGGAGCUGGCAAAUUAGCUUUGAUCCGGAGAUUUCUGAAUGGGGAAACCCACCCGCAAGGGUAUCGCAUACUGAAUACAUAGGUAUGCGAGGCGAACCUGGUGAACUGAAACAUCUAAGUACCCAGAGGAAAAGACAUCAACCG